AGUGAACGCUGGCGGUAGGCCUAACACAUGCAAGUCGAACGGCAGCACAGUAAGAGCUUGCUCUUACGGGUGGCGAGUGGCGGACGGGUGAGGAAUACAUCGGAAUCUACUUUUUCGUGGGGGAUAACGUAGGGAAACUUACGCUAAUACCGCAUACGACCUACGGGUGAAAGCAGGGGAUCUUCGGACCUUGCGCGAUUGAAUGAGCCGAUGUCGGAUUAGCUAGUUGGCGGGGUAAAGGCCCACCAAGGCGACGAUCCGUAGCUGGUCUGAGAGGAUGAUCAGCCACACUGGAACUGAGACACGGUCCAGACUCCUACGGGAGGCAGCAGUGGGGAAUAUUGGACAAUGGGCGCAAGCCUGAUCCAGCCAUACCGCGUGUGUGAAGAAGGCCUUCGGGUUGUAAAGCCCUUUUUUUGGGAAAGAAAAGCAGCAGGUUAAUACCCCGCUGUUCUGACGGUACCCAAAGAAUAAGCACCGGCUAACUUCGUG
RNAcentral lists this ribosomal RNA (492 nucleotides) under uncultured bacterium. Its description in RNAcentral is "partial 16S ribosomal RNA". It matches the Rfam family "Bacterial small subunit ribosomal RNA", at positions 29 to 507 of the family's 1533-position model. The record is from RNAcentral.